GGGGGUUGUUGGGGUGGGGGGUUUUUUCCGGGGGGGGGGGGGCUCGGAGGGAUCAUUACCGAGUUUACAACUCCCAAACCCAAUGUGAACGUUACCAAACUGUUGCCUCGGCGGGAUCUCUGCCCCGGGUGCGUCGCAGCCCCGGACCAAGGCGCCCGCCGGAGGACCAACCAAAACUCUUAUUGUAUACCCCCUCGCGGGUUUUUUACUAUCUGAGCCAUCUCGGCGCCCCUCGUGGGCGUUUCGAAAAUGAAUCAAAACUUUCAACAACGGAUCUCUUGGUUCUGGCAUCGAUGAAGAACGCAGCGAAAUGCGAUAAGUAAUGUGAAUUGCAGAAUUCAGUGAAUCAUCGAAUCUUUGAACGCACAUUGCGCCCGCCAGUAUUCUGGCGGGCAUGCCUGUCCGAGCGUCAUUUCAACCCUCGAACCCCUCCGGGGGGUCGGCGUUGGGGAUCGGCCCUUUACGGGGCCGGCCCCGAAAUACAGUGGCGGUCUCGCCGCAGCCUCUCCUGCGCAGUAGUUUGCACACUCGCAUCGGGAGCGCGGCGCGUCCACAGCCGUUAAACACCCCAAACUUCUGAAAUGUGACCUCGGAUCAGGUAGGAUCCCCAUUCCC
This 615-nucleotide ribosomal RNA is filed under the name Trichoderma virens. Its description in RNAcentral is "eukaryotic LSU rRNA". The stretch from base 259 to 412 matches the Rfam family "5.8S ribosomal RNA". Lineage: Eukaryota; Fungi; Ascomycota; Sordariomycetes; Hypocreales; Hypocreaceae. The record is from RNAcentral.